AUUGAACGCUGGCGGCAUGCCUUACACAUGCAAGUCGAACGGUAACAGGUCUUCGGAUGCUGACGAGUGGCGAACGGGUGAGUAAUACAUCGGAACGUGCCCGAUCGUGGGGGAUAACGGAGCGAAAGCUUUGCUAAUACCGCAUACGAUCUACGGAUGAAAGCAGGGGACCGCAAGGCCUUGCGCGGACGGAGCGGCCGAUGGCAGAUUAGGUAGUUGGUGGGAUAAAAGCUUACCAAGCCGACGAUCUGUAGCUGGUCUGAGAGGACGACCAGCCACACUGGGACUGAGACACGGCCCAGACUCCUACGGGAGGCAGCAGUGGGGAAUUUUGGACAAUGGGCGCAAGCCUGAUCCAGCCAUGCCGCGUGCAGGAUGAAGGCCUUCGGGUUGAACUUUUUUGCUUUUGUACGGAACGAAAGACUCUUUCUAAUAAAGAGGUCCAUGACGGUACCGUAAGAAUAAGACACCGGACUAACUACGUGCCAGCAGCCGCGGUAA
This 501-nucleotide ribosomal RNA is filed under the name uncultured bacterium. RNAcentral's name for it is "bacterial SSU rRNA". It matches the Rfam family "Bacterial small subunit ribosomal RNA", at positions 30 to 523 of the family's 1533-position model. The record is from RNAcentral.